Molecule: ribosomal RNA, 1693 nt
Filed under: Coilia mystus (Osbeck's grenadier anchovy)
Lineage: Eukaryota; Metazoa; Chordata; Actinopteri; Clupeiformes; Engraulidae
Description: 16S ribosomal RNA
Rfam family: Bacterial large subunit ribosomal RNA
Source: RNAcentral
GCUAGAAAGCUAGCUCAAACAUCUUAGCAAAACAAAACAUUUUUUUAACUACUCAUAUACAAAACACCCACAAACCAAAUCAUUUGACUACCCCAGUAUGGGCGACAAAAAAGGAUCCACGAAGCCAUAGACAAAGUACCGCAAGGGAAAGCUGAAAAAGAAAUGAAAAAACUCAUUAAAGCACAAAAAAGCAGAGACACUCCUCGUACCUUUUGCAUCAUGAUUCAGCUAGUAAAAUACAUGCAAAGUGACCUCUAGUUUGUAACCCCGAAACCCGACGAGCUACUCCGGGACAGCCUAUCAAGGGCCAACCCGUCUCUGUGGCAAAAGAGUGGGAAGAUCCCCGAGUAGAAGCAAAAGACCUACCGAGCCGGGUUAUAGCUGGUUGCCCAAAUAAAUGAAUAAAAGUUCAGCCCCGUAUAGCCCAACUCACAGCAGUUUUACUACAAAAGACAAAGAGCUAUUAAGCGGGAGUUAAUCAGGGGAGGUACAGCUCCCCUGAUAAAGGACACAACCUUAUAAAGGAGAUUAAGGAACAUAAUCAGUAAAGGCCACAGGUCUCAGUGGGCCUGAAAGCAGCCACCCGACCAGAAAGCGUUAAAGCUCAGACCAAAAUAACCCUAUUAUUAUAUUAAACACUCCAAAAUCCCUAACAUAAAUGGGCCUUUCUAUGCCCCCAUAGAAGAGAUUAUGCUGAAAUGAGUAACAAGAAGUUUGAACUUCUCCCCGCACAAGUGUAAAUCGAAUUAGACCCACUACCGACAAUUAACGAACCCAAUAACAGAGGGCCCCACAUUACCGCCGUAGAAGGCCAGGAAAAACAUGUCCCCCUAAUCGUUAACCCCACACAGGAGUGCUAAACCAAGGAAAGACUAAAAGAAAAAAAAGGAACUCGGCAAACCUAAACCCCGCCUGUUUACCAAAAACAUCGCCUCUUGCCAACUCUAUUGUAUAAGAGGUCCCACCUGCCCUGUGACCAAAAGUUUAACGGCCGCGGUAUCCUAACCGUGCGAAGGUAGCGCAAUCAAUUGCCUUUUAAAUGAAGGCCUGUAUGAAUGGUAUAACGAGGGUUUAACUGUCUCUUUUUUCCAGUCAGUUAAAUUGAUCUGUCCGUGCAGAAGCGGACAUAAUUAUACAAGACGAGAAGACCCUAUGGAGCUUUAGACACUAACCAACCAUGAAAAGCAAUAAAUUACAUAUACCCCAAACACCCAUGGACCUGGCAUAAUAGUCUUAGGUUGGGGCGACCACGGGAGAUAACAAAGCUCCCGAGCAGAUCAGGGAAAUCCUGAAACUAAGAGUUACAACUCUAAGUCACAAAAAUUUUGACUGAAAUGAUCCGGCCAAAGCCGAUUAACGAACCAAGUUACCCUAGGGAUAACAGCGCAAUCCCCUUUCAGAGUCCAUAUCGACAAGGGGGUUUACGACCUCGAUGUUGGAUCAGGACAUCCUAAUGGUGCAGCCGCUAUUAAGGGUUCGUUUGUUCAACGAUUAAAGUCCUACGUGAUCUGAGUUCAGACCGGAGUAAUCCAGGUCGGUUUCUAUCUGUAAAGCAACCACCCCUAGUACGAAAGGACCGGGGUGGGGAGGCCCAUGUUAAUAACAAGCCUCCCAUCUACCUGUUGAAAACAGCUAAAACAGACAAAGAUGGGCACCCCCCCAGACCCGCGACCAGGGUCACGAAAUAAUUCGC